CCCCGAUAACGGGCGGUGGCUCCGCCCGCCCCGCGCCGGGGAUCUCUGGCCGCGCACGGGAGCGCCGCGUCCGUUCCCCGAGGACGGGGACGUGGGAGGACUGGGGAGAAUGGCGGCUUCCCCUCGGGUGGAGACCUGGAGAGGAAUUUCUCACGCUGAUGGAGGUUUGUCGGAGUGUCACAACCAGCGCAUUUCCAGUUCUCCACUAUUUUUCGUGCUUUCUUAGGCCGGGUAGCAGCCAUGCUGUGCUUGGUCCUGAGGUUCUCCCCCAUGGAUGGGCGACUUUUAAGAAGAGUUCUGGCACCACACAGAGCUUUUUCUCAGGAAUUAUGUAAAUUGGCCGAGCUUGAAAUGCAGCCAGAGAGAUUACUUUCCAUAUUUCUAUAUCCUUGAGAGGAUGUAUUUCACUUUAUCUGAUGUGGUGCCUUAUUCUGCUGUAAAUAUCUGAUAUCUCUGACAGGCUGUUAGCAACAUCGUUCAGUGAUUCAGCCUGGGACAUGUUUAUUAUCUUGCAUUCUAUUAAAUUGUUCUGUGCGAUCCUUUUGAAAAUCAGUCGUUGCUGUCUAAUUGGCUGAUUUCAUUCACUAAUAGAUCAUUAGAUGUAAUAAUUUUUUGGCACCUGUUAAAGAACAAUAUUAGAAAAUGGUUGAGAUGUUUCUUUCAAUACCUUCAGUGGAAUUUACAUUGUUAUUCUGAACUCUUGAACUGGUGUAAUUCCAGUGCUGUCGUUUAAGAUACUACUUAUUGUGGUAGAGAGGAGAGGAAGAUGAUGUUCCUGGGAUGGGCAGAGACACUUCUUGUAGCAAAAGGCAUGUUGUUGUCUGGUCCAGGACCUUGAUGGGACAGACAGAGUGCUGCAGCUUUUAUCCAACAGCAUCCCUGGGGCUGUGAUUUUGGGGCAGGACACAUACAGGGGCUCUGCUGUUGGGGGAGCAGGGUGUCCUGCCUUGCAAUUAAAAAGGGGGGACAGGUGAUAAUCCUUGAGAAGAAGCUGGUGAGAUGGGAUGGGAGAGUGCGAGGGAAGGAGUUUCCUUGGAAUCGCAACAAUUCUGGAAAUGCUGAGCUCACUGUAAACAAGCAAAGGCCUUUUGUUGUCUUGGCGUAGAAGAAAUUAACCCAAAAUAGAUUUUAAAGCAUCACUGGCAUCGUAAUAGUUAAUGGAGAUUCUGAGAGCAUCGAUCCAAAACUGCUGCCUGCCUUUGGGAUUUCAAAUGGAUGGCACUUCCAUUACGGCAAGCUCAGCUGUGUUAGGCCAUGACGGAUAUUGAUGAGAUAACAAGUUUGCUGUAUUGAUGCUGACCAAGAGCGCUGUCUGCUCAAACUCAUCUAACACCGGACUAAAACUCUGUUUUACAAAGCGGCUGCUAAACCAGAGAUGAAGUACUGAAAGCUUUUGGUGCUGGUUUGAAUGGAGAUGUGCCUUUGUGUGCUGGUGAUGCUGAACAUCAACCCGCUAUAGACUCAGGCCUGCAAAAUGCCCGAGGAUAAGCCAGGAUAAACUCAUCACUCAUUUGGGGGGAAGCACAAUUCCCCCCAAUGUCAGCUCCAGCACAUAAGAUCUUCCAGCCUUCUCCUCAUGGAACCCCAAACCCAGAAGAUCUUGUCUCAUCUCAUCCCAUCCCAACAGCUCUGGAGUCAGACGAAAUACUUAGCAGCCACUGUUUUAGCUUGUGCCUUGCUGCUUUUUAAUUAGGCACUGCCAGUAUGUACCGUGGGCUGGCGGCUGAGAUUCAAAAGCAUCUUCCUGGUCCUUUUGAAAACAACCGGAUGAGCAGCCUUCGAACAAUCUGGUGUGCGCCUCAGCAUCUCCCAACGACUGCAUCCCACACUGCUGAGUCAGCUUGCCUGCUUCGGCUCCGAGUGCUUCUCCCCUACCAUGCCUACUGCCUGAGGGCACGUGCAAAGAGCUCUUUUUUUUUUUUUGAUAAGUGCUCUUUAUAUAUAUUUUCAUUUUCCAGUGUUAUUUUCCUCAAUACAAAAUCUAUCCUCGGUGCUUUGCUCUGAUGCAGUGCAAAGAUGGUUUUGUAAAAGGUUCUGAAAGGGUCAUUGCCAGUGGAAGAGGUUGAAUAACGUAGCUGUACAGUUCCUUAUGAAAUUGAAGAUGUGAUUAUUUAAAAGAGAUUGUAAUAAAAAUAGUUUCUGAUGUUGGUGGAUGCAUUUCGGCAGAGAAAUGUGGUUUAAAUGUCUUCAUUUAAUUCCAGUGUGUUUAAAAUUGAUCUCAUGGACCGGAAAAGAGAUUUUUUUUCCUCCCUUAACUAGGGUCUGUGAAGGAAAUUAAUAUAGGGAAGGGAAAAUAGAAAUACAAUACUAGACUCAGUGAAACAAAUGCUUAUGACUGAGGGGUUCGUUACUUGCCAGCACCACUGGAAAAGCCAGCUGCAUAAGGUAUGUUUUAUUAUAGAAUUAACCUUGACCUGGGGUUCAAAGAGAAAGGUUAGUUGGAAAUAAAUCAGUUGUAUGGUCAGGUCACUUCAAAGAGUCUAAAGCUGAGCUCGAAGAUUACAUGCUGUUUAUGUGUAUCCAGUUGGAAUAGAACAUAUGGUAAAGAUAAUAGAAAUAAACUAUUUAUCUCUUCACCCCCCCCUCUUUAGGAUUUUACGCCUUUUUGUCCUUUGCGUAUAUUUGCUGCAGGGGGAUGUUUUUGUCCUGAGAGAUUUAUUGAAAACAGAAAUGUGGAAUAAAAUGUUUUUAAGUCAGCUGGGUGAAA
Columba livia (rock pigeon) is the source of this 2707-nucleotide long non-coding RNA. RefSeq lists it as uncharacterized. The transcript is spliced from 2 exons. Lineage: Eukaryota; Metazoa; Chordata; Aves; Columbiformes; Columbidae. The record is from RefSeq and is a predicted model, not a curated record.